This is a long non-coding RNA of Anguilla rostrata (American eel), 2269 nucleotides long. RefSeq lists it as uncharacterized. The transcript is spliced from 2 exons. Lineage: Eukaryota; Metazoa; Chordata; Actinopteri; Anguilliformes; Anguillidae. The record is from RefSeq and is a predicted model, not a curated record.
UACUCUCAACCCUGUUAUGGAAACCAUGGUUAAUCUGCUCUGCAAAUGGCUGUUACUGUCUAGAGGAAAAGUUUGACAAAGUCAGCGAUGUGUGCUGUUCUUGACAGAAAGUAUUUUUCUCAAUUCAUAUUUGUGUUUGCAGUGAUUGCUCUCAGUAAUGUGCUUCAACAAGGCAAGACAAAAAAUGUACUGAAAUGAGUAAUUUAUGGUCCGCGUGGUUAAGAUUUAAAUAAAAGGUCAUUCUAAAAAGUAAAGUUUUUCAUUCUAAUGUAUAAUAUGUACAACUUCAUUUCAACUGGCAUGGGUCUGUCUAUACACCUGGAUCAGGUUUCGCUCACCCAUGUGUAUUUUUCAACAUUUUAUCAAGAAUCUAACAAGGUGGCCUCUGUGGCCUGUACGCAGAGAAUAACCAACCGACAUGCCAAAAUAAUUUGCGUAAUAUCACUGUGGAGAGAUGUGUCUGGACAAGUAGAAUUGGUGGCAAGUUAUAAAAACAAAUUAAUCUUUUUUUUAUUUAUUUUUAAAAAAUAUUCUGUUUAUUCAUUUUCCAUAUUCACCGUUUAACAUAACAUAACUUAAAACUAGCGCCAUAAUAGAUAUUACAUCUUACAUUUGACACAUACUGUACAUACACACCACUUCUCCCUCCCAUACCGAGACAGGUUCCCCAACAUCACUCUCACCCCACAAAUUAAAAAUGCAGAGAUAAAACAUAAAAAAGUGGGCUACCUCUCAUGGCAUAGGUUAUUUUCUCCAAAGGAUCACAUGAAUUUACCUAGUUAGUCCACUGAAUAAUAUUAGGGGGAUCCUCAUGAAUCCACCUAGAUGUGAUGCAUUGUUUGGCAGCUGUAAUAGCUAGGCUAACAAAACCCUUUACCCUUUGGGAGGGAUGAUUCAGUCCCCAAACAUUGUAAUCACAGGAGAUAAAGAUAUUUCCCUUGAUAAAACUCCUUCAAGAAUAUUUUCAAUCUCCAGCCACCACUGUCUAAGCUUAGAACAAGACCACACCAUAUGUACGAACGUACCAGUCUCCAGUUUGCAGCGGGGACAGAGAGGAGAUGAAUCUGUUUUAAAACGGCUCAGUCACUCAGGCGUAAGGUAUGCUCUAUGUAUGAAUUAGUAAUUGCAGAGCUUAUACCUGGUAUUAAUGUUAGCUAGUACUAUCCUCCAAUCACAUACGACAGAAAUACGAAGUGUUUGUAUCUACAACACCCCAUUAAAAACACUUCCAUUUAACAAUAUGACACUUUCAUUUAUCAUUCAUGGUAAAGGAAAAAUGAUUGAACUGUGUUCCUUUGAGCUACAAUGUAUGUUUGCAUAUUUCUCAUAGCCUAUGUUUAUAUGCAUUAUUGUUAACAAUAAGAAACAAACAUUUUCCAAACCCAGCAGUUUCAACGGUUGACACCCUCAUUUGACGUCUGGCACUCUGAAUACCGAACACCAUCAAUCGUUAAAACACCUUAGCCAUGUAAAAUAUAUUUAUUUUAUUUAAUUUGAUUUGUGCAAAUCAACCUUUAUCAAAAUGUACAACUCACCCCCAGAUAAAAAUGAGGAAAUGUAUUAAGCUACAGUGGGCUCCAGAAUUAUUUGCACCCUUGAUAAAAAUGAAGAAAAAAGGCUGCAUAUAAUAAAUGACACAGAUAAUAAUCUAUAUGUUAUGUUCAAUCAUAUGGGAAAACUAUAUACUUUUAUUUCAAUACAUUUAUUCUCAUGCUUCAAUGUUUUUUUUUAUUAAGUAAUCUAUUUUUUUCUGAAAAUCAUAGGUGCCAUAAUUACUGGCACCCCUAACAUUUAUUGUAAGUAAAAUCAAACUAAAUGAAAUUGGCAAUACAAUUUUACUUAAUUUAGUUCAUCUCAGUCUAAAGGAACUAUAUUGUGUCGUUCCAUCAUUUCCAGUUUCACUAGAGAAUAAAAAUCAGGUAACAAGCAUACAAAAUCCCUUUGUCAUCCAUCAGCUUGGGAAAAAUCAAAUAACUGUCAAUUCAGAAGAGACUGAUGGUAAUUUACCGUCACAAGUCUGGUAAUGGGUACAAAAAAAGCCAUGAAUGUUGAAACAUACCACUUAGCACUGUAAGGGCAAUAAUGUGUCAAACAUAUGGAAUGGUUGCAAAUUUGCCAGGAAGAGGAAGCAAGUGCAUGUUGUCCCCACGGAUGGUGAGGAAGAUGGUGACGGAGGCCAUUAAUAACCCCAAGGAUCACUGUUUAAAGGAGUAACAUGGUGGUUGAACGUGACACUUCCCAGUUGUCUUUAGGCAACAACAAAACAAAU